ACUAUAACUGUUGAGUCAUCAUCAGGAAUUGAUUAUCAAUUAUAAUUCCUGAUGAUGACUCAACAGUAGUCGA
This is a non-coding RNA of Paramuricea clavata, 73 nucleotides long. NCBI's taxonomy places the organism in Eukaryota, Metazoa, Cnidaria, Anthozoa, Malacalcyonacea, Plexauridae. The record is from the annotation of a GenBank genome assembly.